RNAcentral lists this transfer RNA (86 nucleotides) under Myxococcales bacterium. RNAcentral describes it as "tRNA-Tyr". Lineage: Bacteria; Pseudomonadati; Myxococcota; Myxococcia; Myxococcales. RNAcentral also lists the same sequence under 1 other name. The record is from RNAcentral.
GGGGCUGUAGUCCGGUAGGGACCCGGGCCUGAUUGUAGAUCAGAUGUCACGCCGUGACCGUCCUGGCUCGACUCCAGGCAGCCCCA